GUAAAAAAACCAUCUAUAAAAUUAACAUUCAUAACUUCAUCUGUACUUGAAGUAGAAUAUUUUGCUAUCUAUUGGAUGAAUUCUCUAUCAUCCUCCCAAUUAUAUACUCUAGAGCCUAUGCAAUUGAGUGGAGUAGGUUUGACUAUCUUUGAUUGAAUCCACUCAUUUUUUUUCUAAAUUAGUAAAUCUUACUUUUUUUUUCAAUUCUUUUUUAGAUUGAUGAGUGUGAGUUUCAUCAUCAAAAUUUGUAGAAACUCUUUCUAAUGGUAAUCCUUGAAUUUGAAUAAAGAUCAUUGUAAGUUUUUUUGAGAGAUCAUAAAUAAUAUGGAAUUUUUUUCCACCUUAAUCAAUUUUUGCUUCAAUCACCUUCAAUCAAGGCCUAUUUAAUAGCAACAGGUAAGAAUCCUUAUUUGAAUGCAUAAGAAUAAUAUAAAAAUUAAAGAAAUAUUCUUCAUCACUUGUUAUCACCAUACAUCUAUUAAUUUGGUCUAAGACGGUAUCUUGACUUU
This 509-nucleotide long non-coding RNA is filed under the name Physcomitrium patens. Its description in RNAcentral is "long non-coding RNA (PPAT_LNC004534)". Lineage: Eukaryota; Viridiplantae; Streptophyta; Bryopsida; Funariales; Funariaceae. The record is from RNAcentral.